AAUAGAUACCCGGGUAGUCCACGCCGUAAACGAUGAGUGCUAAGUGGUUAGGGGGUUUCCGCCCCUUAGUGCUGCAGCUAACGCAUUAAGCACUCCGCCUGGGGAGUACGGUCGCAAGACUGAAACUCAAAGGAAUUGACGGGGGCCCGCACAAGCGGUGGAGCAUGUGGUUUAAUUCGAAGCAACGCGAAGAACCUUACCAGGUCUUGACAUCCCAUUGACCGCUAUGGAGACAUAGCUUUCCCUUCGGGGACAGUGGUGACAGGUGGUGCAUGGUUGUCGUCAGCUCGUGUCGUGAGAUGUUGGGUUAAGUCCCGCAACGAGCGCAACCCUUGUUCUUAGUUGCCAUCAUUUAGUUGGGCACUCUAAGGAGACUGCCGGUGACAAACCGGAGGAAGGUGGGGAUGACGUCAAAUCAUCAUGCCCCUUAUGACCUUGGGCUACACACGUGCUACAAUGGACGGUACAAACGGUUGCCAACCCGGCGAGGGGGGAGCCUAAUCCGGAUAAAACCCGUUCUCAGUUCGGAUUGUAGGCUGCAACUCG
Molecule: ribosomal RNA, 546 nt
Filed under: uncultured bacterium
Lineage: Bacteria
Description: bacterial SSU rRNA
Rfam family: Bacterial small subunit ribosomal RNA
Source: RNAcentral